UCCCUGAUAGCUCAAUUGGUAAAGAAUCUGCCUGCAAUGCAGGGAACUCUGGUUCGACUCCUGGGUUGGGAA
Molecule: non-coding RNA, 72 nt
Organism: Bos taurus (domestic cattle)
Lineage: Eukaryota; Metazoa; Chordata; Mammalia; Artiodactyla; Bovidae
Source: Rfam